Molecule: long non-coding RNA, 1217 nt
Filed under: Mustela putorius furo (domestic ferret)
Lineage: Eukaryota; Metazoa; Chordata; Mammalia; Carnivora; Mustelidae
Description: lncRNA (ENSMPUG00000027541.1)
Source: RNAcentral
GUUAUGAUCUCUACUCAGGGCAUUAAAUAUACAGUGUGGGACUGUAGUUCAAAGACCACUUCUCAAUCCAAAGAUCAAACUGGUCUUCUCACUGUACAUUAAAAAACACCUUUUUGCAUCUGUUAGUAAAAUAGGAAGAAUUCAUGAAAGAGUUUUUUGGGACAGUAGCCACAGGAAUUUACAGAAGCUAAAAUUAAAUUUCUUGGUGAUGAAGACCACUAAAAAGCUUAUUUCAGGACAAGUAGCAAACAGGUGCUGUGUGGUGGGGAAGGAGUAUCCCAUGUGGUCACAGCCCUUUCUCAUAACAACAGCUUCAGAACAAGACAGUAAGAACAGGCUCUGUUUGUGCCAACAUGUAUUAUUCUUGCUUGACUUUUUUAUGUCUUCAUAAAAUACAGACCGUUUGCCUUAAUGAAAAUCUAACCUAACAUGCCACAAGAGUGAUUUAAAGGCUAGGAAAGACAUAUUGAGAUAAAUGGAUUAUAGCUCUACACUCGACACCAUUCGCUUCCCACUACUAACUUCAGACUCCUGAACACUGGACAACAGAAUCGUGGAGAUUUUCCAUCAAACCCGGGCUAUUGUGGGAAGGGCUUUCUUUCUAGAAUCCCAGUAAGAAUUCCAUCAUUACAGUUAGUGCAUGGUUCAUCAUUCCGCACUUCACUCACGGGAGUCCUCACCGCUAACAGGACCAGGAAAUGGGCCGAGAUGCUGCAAGAAUCUGACUCCAGUUCACUGAAUCGGCCAUCAUUUAUGAGAGUGCUCACUAAACAAACGGCUGUGUGCUUGUCAGAGGAAAAAACGAGACGUUUUGUUCAUCUGCACGUAACCUGCCACAGUUAUGAAGGGCCAGAGGUUUGCAGGUGGGUCUCUGAACACCGUCCCCGCUGCCACCUCCAGCCGAUGAGGAGGAAGUAGCUGCCUCCCUCCAUGGCUUUCUCUAUCACCAAAGCUUUGGCGGAAGGAGAAACUCAGCUGUGGUGCUACUAAGGGUCGACAUCUCUGAAUUUGCCACUUUAGCUCCCAGGAACACAAGUCAGAAGUAUCCCUCCUUUCCAGAGGCAAAGGCCCCCGUGAAUGCUCAGCUCGCCAGCUCUCCUUCAAUUCCAGCUCCUGCUGCAGGGCUGGACCCAGCUUGUCUAAGUAGUGCCAUCAAACCUUCAUGACUGCCUCUCACUGAGGUCUCUCAUGCAGGCCCAACCACACAGGCAAGAGCG